This 113-nucleotide ribosomal RNA is filed under the name Danio rerio (zebrafish). The record is from RNAcentral. Lineage: Eukaryota; Metazoa; Chordata; Actinopteri; Cypriniformes; Danionidae.
GCCGGCAGCUAGCUCUCUGCAACUCUUACAUGGUCGCCUCCUGAAGCUAAGCAAGGCUGCGCCCGGUAUACCUGGAUGGGAGACCACAUGGGAAAGCUAGGUUGCUGCCGGAA